This 480-nucleotide ribosomal RNA is filed under the name uncultured bacterium. RNAcentral describes it as "bacterial SSU rRNA". It matches the Rfam family "Bacterial small subunit ribosomal RNA", at positions 29 to 506 of the family's 1533-position model. The record is from RNAcentral.
UUGAACGCUGGCGGCAUGCUUUACACAUGCAAGUCGAACGGUAACAGGCCGCAAGGUGCUGACGAGUGGCGAACGGGUGAGUAAUGCAUCGGAACGUGCCCAGUCGUGGGGGAUAACGCAGCGAAAGCUGUGCUACUACCGCAUACGAUCUAUGGAUGAAAGCGGGGGACCGUAAGGCCUCGCGCGAUUGGAGCGGCCGAUGUCAGAUUAGGUAGUUGGUGGGGUAAAGGCCCACCAAGCCAACGAUCUGUAGCUGGUCUGAGAGGACGAACAGCCACACUGGAACUGAGACACGGUCCAGACUCCUACGGGAGGCAGCAGUGGGGAAUUUUGGACAAUGGGCGCAAGCCUGAUCCAGCAAUGCCGCGUGCAGGAAGAAGGCCUUCGGGUUGUAAAGCUCUUUCAGCCGGAAAGAAAGCGUGCAGAUUAACACUCUGGAUGGAUGACGGUACCGGAAGAAGAAGCACCGGCUAACUACGU